Molecule: ribosomal RNA, 327 nt
Filed under: uncultured eukaryote
Lineage: Eukaryota
Description: partial 18S ribosomal RNA
Rfam family: Eukaryotic small subunit ribosomal RNA
Source: RNAcentral
CCCUUAGAUGUUCUGGGCCGCACGCGCGCUACACUGACGAAUGCAACGAGCUUAUAACCUUGGCCGAAAGGUCUGGGUAAUCUCCAAAUUUCGUCGUGAUGGGGAUAGAUUAUUGCAAGUAUUAAUCUUCAACGAGGAAUGCCUAGUAAGCGCAAGUCAUCAGCUUGCGUUGAUUACGUCCCUGCCCUUUGUACACACCGCCCGUCGCUCCUACCGAUUGAAUGGUCCGGUGAAGCGUUCGGACCGUGGCCUUUGGACGGAUCGCCGUCUGUUGGCUGCGGGAAGUUCGUUAAACCUUAUCAUUUAGAGGAAGGAGAAGUCGUAACA